This 1542-nucleotide unclassified non-coding RNA is filed under the name Agrilus planipennis (emerald ash borer). RNAcentral's name for it is "eukaryotic initiation factor 4A-I, transcript variant X2". The record is from RNAcentral. Lineage: Eukaryota; Metazoa; Arthropoda; Insecta; Coleoptera; Buprestidae.
AUGUCGCUUAGUUCUGAACGAAGGAAUGAUGAGUGGAGUGGGGAGAAAAACGGUCCUGAAAAGGAGCCUCCAAGCUACGAUGGCCCACCAGGAAUGGACCCUGAUGGUGUCAUUGAAUCUAACUGGGAAGAAGUGGUUGACAAUUUUGAUGAUAUGAAUCUAAAAGAAGAACUUUUAAGAGGAAUUUAUGCUUAUGGUUUUGAAAAGCCUUCUGCUAUUCAACAAAGAGCUAUUAUGCCAUGUGUUAAAGGACAUGAUGUGAUAGCACAAGCACAAUCAGGGACAGGAAAAACAGCUACUUUCUCAAUAUCUAUCCUACAGCAAAUUGACACUUCUCUAAGGGAGUGCCAAGCAUUAAUUUUAGCCCCAACACGUGAAUUGGCCCAACAAAUUCAAAAAGUUGUUAUAGCAUUGGGUGAUUUUAUGUCUGCUCAGUGUCAUGCAUGCAUUGGUGGGACUAAUGUUAGAGAGGAUAUGAGGAAGUUAGAACACGGGGUUCAUGUGGUAGUGGGUACUCCUGGUAGAGUGUAUGACAUGAUUAGUCGAAGAGCUUUACGUACUCAGUUCAUUAAGAUGUUUGUUUUGGAUGAAGCUGAUGAAAUGUUGUCAAGAGGUUUCAAGGAUCAAAUUCAUGACGUAUUUAAAAUGUUAAAUGCUGACGUUCAGGUUAUCUUGCUGUCAGCCACAAUGCCGUCAGACGUAUUGGAUGUAACAAAGUCAUUUAUGAGGAAUCCUAUUCGUAUUUUAGUUAAAAAAGAAGAAUUGACAUUGGAGGGUAUUAAACAGUUUUAUGUUUUUGUGGAAAGGGAAGACUGGAAAUUGGAGACACUCUGUGAUCUUUAUGACACAUUGUCCAUUACUCAGGCUGUUAUUUUUUGCAAUACAAGGCGCAAGGUUGAUUGGUUGACUGAGAACAUGCACAAAAGAGACUUCACUGUUUCAGCUAUGCAUGGAGACAUGGAACAACGAGAGAGAGAUGUCAUCAUGAGGCAGUUUCGUACUGGUUCCUCUAGGGUUCUCAUUACAACUGACCUGUUAGCUCGUGGUAUUGAUGUACAACAGGUGUCCCUUGUAAUUAAUUAUGAUUUGCCUUCAAAUAGAGAAAAUUAUAUACACAGAAUUGGUCGUGGUGGUCGUUUUGGUAGAAAAGGAGUCGCCAUCAAUUUCGUGACGGAGGUCGAUAAGCGUACUCUAAAAGAUAUCGAACAAUUUUAUAACACUCAUGUGGACGAGAUGCCAAUGAAUGUGGCGGACCUGAUUUAAGCGACGCCACCCCCGCCCCGUCCGCUACAUCAGUUGUACCGGCGCCGUUGUCGUCGUUCACUCGUUGUGGUGGUCGUCUAGAGUUUUUUCUAAUUAUAUGGUGCUGACACAACACCGAAGCAGGAUGUUCCAUAAACCAUUCAACAGCGGUUUUGCUUCUUUUUUAACUAAAAAAUUACAUUCUAAGUUCAAAAUGUACUGUAAUAUACACCACAUUAAGUUAUGUUGUCCAGUUUUUACACUUUGAUCUAUAAAUAAAUGAUAAUGUUGCUGUAAUAA